RNAcentral lists this ribosomal RNA (500 nucleotides) under uncultured Glomeromycotina. RNAcentral describes it as "partial small subunit ribosomal RNA". It matches the Rfam family "Eukaryotic small subunit ribosomal RNA", at positions 591 to 1092 of the family's 1831-position model. The record is from RNAcentral. Lineage: Eukaryota; Fungi; Glomeromycota.
CCAAUAGCGUAUAUUAAAGUUGUUGCAGUUAAAAAGCUCGUAGUUGAAUUUCGGGAUCAAUAUGUCUGUCGUGCCUUCGGUACGUACGGGUAUAAUUGGUUUCUACCUUCUGAUGAACCUUGAUGCCAUUAAUUUGGUGUCUUGGGGACUCAGGACUGUUACCUUGAAAAAAUUAGAGUGUUUAAAGCAGGCAUACGCUUGAAUACAUUAGCAUGGAAUAAUGAAAUAGGACGUUCGAUUCCAUUUUGUUGGUUUCUAGGAUCGACGUAAUGAUUAAUAGGGAUAGUUGGGGGCAUUAGUAUUCAAUUGUCAGAGGUGAAAUUCUUGGAUUUAUUGAAGACUAACUACUGCGAAAGCAUUUGCCAAGGAUGUUUUCAUUAAUCAAGAACGAAAGUUAGGGGAUCGAAGACGAUCAGAUACCGUCGUAGUCUUAACCAUAAACUAUGCCGACUAGGGAUCGGAUGAUGUUAAUUUUUUAAUGACUCAUUCGGCGCCUUACG